This 995-nucleotide ribosomal RNA is filed under the name uncultured archaeon. Its description in RNAcentral is "bacterial SSU rRNA". It matches the Rfam family "Archaeal small subunit ribosomal RNA", at positions 1 to 999 of the family's 1478-position model. The record is from RNAcentral.
UUCCGGUUGAUCCUGCCGGAGGUCACUGCUAUCAGUGUUCGAUUAAGCCAUGCGAGUCAAAUGUUCUUCGUGAACAUGGCGUACUGCUCAGUAACACGUGGAUAAUCUGCCCUAAGGUCAGGCAUAACACCGGGAAACUGGUGAUAAUUCCUGAUAUACCAUAGAUACUGGAAUGUUCUGUAGUCAAAAGCUCCGGCGCCUUAGGAUGAAUCUGCGGCCUAUCAGGUCGUAGUGGGUGUAACGUACCUACUAGCCGACGACGGGUACGGGUUGUGAGAGCAAGAGCCCGGAGAUGGAUUCUGAGACAUGAAUCCAGGCCCUACGGGGCGCAGCAGGCGCGAAAACUUUACAAUGCGGGAAACCGCGAUAAGGGGACACUGAGUGCCAGCAUACAAUGUUGGCUGUCCGCAUGUAUAAAUAGCAUGUGUUAGCAAGGGCCGGGCAAGACCGGUGCCAGCCGCCGCGGUAACACCGGCGGCCCGAGUGGUGGCCACUAUUAUUGGGUCUAAAGGGUCCGUAGCCGGUUUGAUCAGUCUUCCGGGAAAUCUGACAGCUCAACUGUUAGGCUUCCGGGGGAUACUGUCAGACUUGGGACCGGGAGAGGUAAGAGGUACUACAGGGGUAGGAGUGAAAUCUUGUAAUCCUUGUGGGACCACCAGUGGCGAAGGCGUCUUACCAGAACGGGUCCGACGGUGAGGGACGAAAGCUGGGGGCACGAACCGGAUUAGAUACCCGGGUAGUCCCAGCCGUAAACGAUGCUCGCUAGGUGUCUGGGAUGGUGCGACCGUUUCAGGUGCCGCAGGGAAGCCGUGAAGCGAGCCACCUGGGAAGUACGGCCGCAAGGCUGAAACUUAAAGGAAUUGGCGGGGGAGCACUACAACGGGUGGAGCCUGCGGUUUAAUUGGACUCAACGCCGGAAAACUCACCUGGGGCGACAGCAAUAUGUAGGUCAGGCUGAAGGUCUUACCUGAAUCGCUGAGAGGUGGUGCAUGGCC